Long non-coding RNA from Cyprinus carpio carpio, 526 nucleotides. The record is from Ensembl. Lineage: Eukaryota; Metazoa; Chordata; Actinopteri; Cypriniformes; Cyprinidae.
CACUGUAUAAAUUUCAGAUCAUUGUUGUGGUGUAUAGAUUUUUUUUUUUCUCUUUCAAAAAAUUUUUUUUUUCAACUUCAUUUUCCAUCAGCAGUUUCACUGUCAUUAUAGAUGAGUUGGUCAAAUAAUGCCUUCAUUCACAAACUCUAUGGAGUCACUGUAUAGUUGUGAUUUUGUGUGUAUGCAUCAUAACAAGCUGCAUUUUGUUUUACUUUUCAGACCAGCCCUGUGGAACAACAUAGAGAAGUUGUAAUUCUAUGCUUAAUUGUCUGCCUCUCUGAAAAUCCUGAGAAUCUCAUCAAGCACCAUCAGGAUACUCAUGGGAAUAAGGAGGAACUGGAACUGCUCACACUUAAAAUCAUCAAGAAAGGUGGCUCAACAGAUGAUCCAUUACAGACUGGGAUAGUGCUGGAAGGCAUAGAGGUGAUGACGAGAUUGGCAGGUGUUGCGAAGGCUUGUGUUUUUCUGCUUGGCCUAAUUUAAGCAAUUAAUCUGAGUUACCCCAAAGAGCUCAAUGAACAAUGUU